GCACUGCUGAGGAGUCCCACAAUAGGACGAAACAGCUGUCCAGCGC
Schistosoma mansoni is the source of this 46-nucleotide non-coding RNA. NCBI's taxonomy places the organism in Eukaryota, Metazoa, Platyhelminthes, Trematoda, Strigeidida, Schistosomatidae. The record is from Rfam.